RNAcentral lists this long non-coding RNA (1914 nucleotides) under Pan troglodytes (chimpanzee). Its description in RNAcentral is "long non-coding RNA NONPTRT000098". The record is from RNAcentral. Lineage: Eukaryota; Metazoa; Chordata; Mammalia; Primates; Hominidae.
AGGAAAAGCAACUGGUCCAAGGUCAGACAACCGAGUACUGGUACAGCUGGGACUAGACCCAGGUCUGUCUGGCCCACAUCAGAGCGUUCUCCAUCACAGAAGAGGUCUGGUCAUUCCCAUCACCAUGUGUCUCAGGGCCCCCAGUGAAGUCACCUCCCUGUGCCUGCAACACAGGAAGCACCUAAUACACGGUGGGCACUGUGAUCUGCAGCGUCCCACAGCACAGGGCUUGAGGGCAGCCGCCAAGAUGUGGGCAGAGGAGUGGGGAGGAAGGGGCAUUUGGGAGAAGGCGGCCACUGGGGGGCUUCCCUUCAGUGUGAACUCUGCUUUUCCAUCAGAGGGGUUCGAGUUCUGGAGCCUGGAUGUGAAUGGAGGCGAUGAGUGGAAGGGGGAGGAUCUCUCUCGAGACCAGAGGAAGGAAUUCCCCAAUGACCAGGUUCGCAGCCAGGCCAGAUUGCGGGUCCAAGUACCAGCUGUGCGUUCAGCUCCUGUCGUCCGCACACGCGCCUCUGGGGACCUUCCAGCCAGACCCGGCGACCAUCCAGCAGAAGAGCGAUGCCAAGUGGAGGGAGGUCUCCCACACAUUCUCCAACUACCCGCCCGGCGUCCGCUACAUCUGGUUUCAGCACGGCGGCGUGGACACUCAUUACUGGGCCGGCUGGUACGGCCCGAGGGUCACCAACAGCAGCAUCACCAUCGGGCCCCCGCUGCCCUGACACCCCCUGAGCCCCCAUCUGCUGAACCCUGACUGGUAAACAACUGCUGUCAGAAAAGGGCUGGGCUUGGGAAGGGGAGGUGGAGGCCAGGCGUCCCCAGACCUCUAACCCUUGCCCCUAGCCGCCUCUUCUUUGUGGAGCCUCUCAGUGUGGGCAGCCCUCACAUGCUGGGAUCGGGCCAGCUCUCCCCGAAAGGUCUUGACCUGAAUGAUGGCCGGGGAAGCCUGCGUGUGCCCCUUUCAGAGACGGAGCACCUGAGAUGUGGGAGGUGCAGCAUGUUCCCCUGGGCCCCUCAGAAAGUCGAGCUUGGAGGCCAGCCUGGAUCUGUCUCUCCCUUCCCCUCCUGGGACCAUUCUACCUGUGUUCUUUGACCCUCGGAGCAGGGACAGGCAAGACAACUGGCAAGCUUGCAGCUGCCCUGAUGGUGCAGGUGCAGGGAGGUGACCAUGUAACUCUGACCAAUCUGGGAAGUGGAGGGUGGGCUCAUGGGCCGUGCUCUGCCCCUGUCUGCUGCUCCCAGUCUCUCGCUCUGCCUGCCUGCUCAGAAGAGGUGGCUUUGGCCCAGAGGCUCAGGCCAGGACUGAGAUGGGCAGACCCAGGGCGGGGUGGGGUCCAGGUCGGGUGUGGACUGUCCUCACUGUCAGUGGAGCCCCAGAAGCUAGAUGGGUACCAGGUGGGGUCAGGUUCCCAGAGGACUGAGGGAGUCCUGCACAGGAUGUCCCAGGGUAGGUGGGGAGCAGGAUUGGGACCUGCUCUGACAGCUGGACACGUGAGCCCUGGAUGAGUGUGGUAGGGGGUUUGAAGGAUCCCCUGUCCACCUCCCAAAUCCAGGCCAGGCCCCCUCUGGCUUGGAGAGCAUUCCAAGACCCCACCCCACCCCUAGAACUGCCAUUCCCAAGACCUCUGUCUCCCAGCCAGCCACCCUUGGAACUUGCCUCUUGUCCUGCUGGAAGGACAGCAGUGUUCUCCUGACUUCGCCCUACUGCAUGCAGCCAAAUAAAAGGUGUGCCCAGUCUAACCUGUGCCCUGUGGUUUCUGGAAGGAAAGGCAGACUUUAGGUGGUCCUGCCUGGACCUGCAGAUGGUACAAUGGCAUGGCUUCUGUCUAAGGUACAGAGGGGUUGGCAUUUCAGGAACCAGGCCAUCACAGAAACAGGUUCAUGGGCAGACCCCUCAGUGAGCUGCAGGUAUCUCACCUG